This 254-nucleotide ribosomal RNA is filed under the name uncultured bacterium. RNAcentral's name for it is "partial 16S ribosomal RNA". It matches the Rfam family "Bacterial small subunit ribosomal RNA", at positions 524 to 776 of the family's 1533-position model. The record is from RNAcentral.
UACGGGGGGGGCAAGCGUUGUUCGGAAUUACUGGGCGUAAAGGGCUCGUAGGCGGCCAACUAAGUCAGACGUGAAAUCCCUCGGCUUAACCGGGGAACUGCGUCUGACACUGGAUGGCUUGAGUUUGGGAGAGGGAUGCGGAAUUCCAGGUGUAGCGGUGAAAUGCGUAGAUAUCUGGAGGAACACCGGUGGCGAAGGCGGCAUCCUGGACCAACACUGACGCUGAGUGAGCGAAAGCCAGGGGAGCAAACGGG